AAGGGAGGCAGCACCGCCAGGCGAUGAGUAGAGCUGGGCCCUGGCGGGCUGCCCCUGGGGUGUCUUGCAGUCCCUCUGCAAGGGGGGGGGUCUAGGGCUGUUCCUCCGAGGUCUCGAGGUGGUCCUUCGGGUGUGUCUGGGGUCGGUCAGCCCCUCUAGAAUCUUGGGGCGGCCUCCCGGGGGCCAUACUGCAUCACAUAGUGGAGGCAGGCAGAAGCCGGUUGGGGAGGGCCCGCGGUGCUUUUGGUGUGAAGAUCUCCAGGAAGAGUGAUUUUAAAAAUAGCCUGACUGACGUGUAAAGAACUCUAUCAAGUACCGUUUGCUGAGUCAUGAGAGCCUGUUCAAGUUCCAGCCUGAGAACUGAGGGAAGGGUUGGGAAGAUAACACUAGCAUGUGUAAUGUAACACAUGACAAUGGAAGAUUCUACAUAAUUAAGGGUUAACUCUGAAAUCAGAAGACAAGUUUUCCAAGACUUGGGAAGGUGGAGAGAUCAGAGAUCCGUGAGAGAACAAAGAAUCGGGUGUUUUGCAUGUCUGACACCCAUGGCUCCACCUGGAGGACAACCCUCACUCCUGUGGCCACACCUAGAAUCGACCAGCCCACAGGAGGACUGCUUCAACCCGCUAUGAUUUCAUCUCUGCCCCAGCCAAUCAGCAGCAAGCACCUGCUACCUAGCACUCCUCUCCCCCACACUGCUUUCCCCAAACCGCCUUUGCAAAACCCCUAAUCUGGUGGGAUGUGGUGGCUCACGCCUGUAAUCCCAGCACUUUGGGAGGCUGAGGCGGGCAGAUCACCAGGUCAGGAGUUCGAGACCAGCCUGACCAACAUGGUGAAACCCUGUCUCUACUAAAAAUAUAAAAAUUAGCUGGGUAUGGUGGCACGCGCCUCUAAUCUCAGCUACUCUGGAGGCUGAGGCAGGAGAAUCACUUGAACCUGGAAGGCGGAGGUUACAGUGAGCCCUGUGGGUGACAGAGUAAGACUUUAUCUCAAAAAAGAAAAAGAAAAACCCCUAAUCUACAAGGUUUGAAUGAGAUGAUUUGAGUACCAAUUCCAUCUCCCACGUGUUAUGGCCAGCCCUGUGUCUAUUAAACUCUCCACUACA
This 1102-nucleotide long non-coding RNA is filed under the name Macaca mulatta (Rhesus monkey). RNAcentral's name for it is "lncRNA (ENSMMUG00000050107.1)". Lineage: Eukaryota; Metazoa; Chordata; Mammalia; Primates; Cercopithecidae. The record is from RNAcentral.